UGCCGCCGCGGCUCGGCGGCGCCGGGGUUCGCCUCGGAGCGGCGCGGCGCCCCCGGGGCGGGCCAGCCGCGGUGAGUGGAAGCCCGCGGCUUCGAAAGCCGGAGCGAAGGGGAAGCCGGAUGUUCUCUCCUUUCCCCCCUCCUCCUUUGUAACGUCCCGUUGCUCUUGACCGUCCCCGAACAGAUUACCUGUCUGCUUACUCUCCUGCAUGCCAGUAGCACUGCAGAGGAAGCCUGAAACACCAUUGCAUUUGUCUUUAGUAUUACAUUAUGAUAUAUAUAUGUCCAGUAUCUUCUAAAACUGGAGCCACAGUAUUGUGGAACGUUGCAGAAGUGGUCUUUGCAGUGAUGUAUCUAUCAUCAUGCCUGCCUUCCUUGUACACUCUCCCCCAGGCACCUGCUGCUGUCAUCCGAAACAGGAUCCCGGACAUCUGCCUUUGGCUAUUGUUGGAGUCAGGAUACUGAAUAUCUCGUGGAGCUAUUCUGGUGUGCCUCCAUUCCUCAGGAUUUCAAAAGGAUGUUCUUCAAAUAUGCAGUUCAUGCUGGGUGAGCAAAACAAGCUGGGAUCAGAGUGAGAGGGUUGAGGUAAAACUCAGUCCCAUGUAGAGUAUGAGCGAACCCAGGACACUCAAAGUUUGUACAGUCAGCAGUGCAUGUAGAUGCAGGCCCAGAGCCAGGCCCUUUUAGGUGGACAGCUCUUAGGUGGAUAGCCUUUGCCUCCAUGAAUCCCUAGGGAUAAGCUCCAGUGGGAAUGAAUCUGCAGCCUGUUCAGAUUGAGAUUAAGAUGAGGAAAAGGAGUGAAUUCACAUAAAAAUUUGCAUGCUUGAGUGACAUGGAAUUAUUAUUUAAUAUGUAGUACUGGCGCAAAUAGGAAAAAAAAAGUCGUGAUCUGAGGAUAUAAGUCAUAAAAAAAGCCAGGUUUUGAUAUUCUUACUGACAUUGGAUUGUACCUUGUGUCAUAAACCACUCCACUGAUCUCAGUCAAAUGACAGGAGAGGGAAGGCACUGCUGAGUGCGCAUCAGCGCGACCCUCCACCUGCGAUUCUAGUAUUGAUAGAGCAACUUUAUUUUGAGUUACAUUCUACUGAACUGGACCAUGGCAGUAACAACUGUUUAGGUACAGAGAGUGGAUGCUUCGUGGUGUGUUAACAAGAUGAAGGGGAAGAAGCAUACCAGGUGGGGGCUCCUUUAUCACACCUGGGAUCGUGACAAGCUGAUUAGCACUUUCUUCUACAACAAAAUAAACAACAAAUGAAGUAAAAUGUCAUUUUGAAAAUACUCUGUUAAUUUAAAUUACUCUAAUUCAGGAAGAACAGAGUGAAUGUUACUCUCAUUAGCUAACAUCAGUUAGGAACAGAUUAAAAUGUAUUAAAAAUAAAUGGACAAAAAAACCCUGGACAAUUUUUAAAACAAAAAGAAUGGUAGCUUUUUUUGCAUUUUUCCUUGCAUUACUUCUAAAAAAACUAGAAUUUUUAAAAAAUACUACAUGAGGAAAUACAAUUAAUUAGUAGUACCACUUAUAGUUCUAUGUGUUAAUAUUUUUUUGAAGGUAUCAGCAGUCAUUACUCUUAGCUGUAUCAUCUGCUUGGAUCCAAGAAAACCUAAGCUUUUCUUACUUCCAUAUUUCUGUUGUACAACUGCAUUUAAUCUGCCAUCCCUCAAAUAAACCAAAUUCUCAUUACAGAAA
This is a long non-coding RNA of Rhea pennata, 1686 nucleotides long. RefSeq lists it as uncharacterized. Lineage: Eukaryota; Metazoa; Chordata; Aves; Rheiformes; Rheidae. The transcript has 3 exons. The record is from RefSeq and is a predicted model, not a curated record.